RNAcentral lists this ribosomal RNA (772 nucleotides) under uncultured Agrococcus sp. RNAcentral's name for it is "bacterial SSU rRNA". It matches the Rfam family "Bacterial small subunit ribosomal RNA", at positions 1 to 784 of the family's 1533-position model. The record is from RNAcentral. Lineage: Bacteria; Bacillati; Actinomycetota; Actinomycetes; Micrococcales; Microbacteriaceae.
GAAAGNNAGAGUUUGAUCCUGGCUCAGGACGAACGCUGGCGGCGUGCUUAACNCAUGCAAGUCGAACGAUGAAAGAGGAGCUUGCUCCUCUCGAUUAGUGGCGAACGGGUGAGUAACACGUGAGCAAUCUGCCCCCCACUCUGGGAUAAGCGCUGGAAACGGCGUCUAAUACCGGAUACGACCCUCAGAGGCAUCUCUAGAGAGUGGAAAGAAUUUCGGUGGGGGAUGAGCUCGCGGUCUAUCAGCUAGUUGGUGAGGUAAUGGCUCACCAAGGCGACGACGGGUAGCCGGCCUGAGAGGGUGACCGGCCACACUGGGACUGAGACACGGCCCAGACUCCUACGGGAGGCAGCAGUGGGGAAUAUUGCACAAUGGGCGCAGGCCUGAUGCAGCAACGCCGCGUGAGGGACGACGGCCUUCGGGUUGUAAACCUCUUUUAGCAGGGAAGAAGCGAAAGUGACGGUACCUGCAGAAAAAGCACCGGCUAACUACGUGCCAGCAGCCGCGGUAAUACGUAGGGUGCAAGCGUUGUCCGGAAUUAUUGGGCGUAAAGAGCUCGUAGGCGGUUUGUCACGUCUGCUGUGAAAACCCGAGGCUCAACCUCGGGCCUGCAGUGGGUACGGGCAGACUAGAGUGCGGUAGGGGAGAUUGGAAUUCCUGGUGUAGCGGUGGAAUGCGCAGAUAUCANGAGGAACACCGAUGGCGAANGCAGAUCUCUGGGCCGUAACUGACGCUGANGAGCGAAAGCGUGGGGAGCAAACANGCUUAGAUA